CACGAAACCGUGUGAGCUAAUUCAGUUUUAAUUUAUGUGGCAUAAUAUUUUCUGAAAUUGAAUUAGGGGUGAUAGGCCCUCAAAAAACGGCGAUAUCUUGAAGUAAGCGAAAAAAAUUUAGUUUUAAGAUAAUUACAAAGUUAUAAGAUUUUGUAAAAUUUUUAAGUAAUAUUACUAUAUAAUGUGGAUAUAAAAGUCUGCCUGAUGAACGUAAAAAUAUUAAGUUAUUAUAAUUAUUAUACUAGUUUACGGUAGUAUAAUUUUUCACAUAAUCAUUAUGUUAAUAUAAGUACUCAACAAGUAUUGAUAGUGAACUCGGCAAUAAAGCUUUCAACUGUUUAUCAAAAACAUAGCUACACGUCGCAUGUGUGGUGUGUUCUGCUCAAUGAUAUUUAAAUAGCCGCAGUACCCUGACUGUGCAAAGGUAGCGUAAUCAUUUGUCUCUUAAUUAGAGUCCUGUAUGAAUGAAUGCAUGGGGGCUUACUUUACCAUUGAUAUAAGUCGAAAUUACUUAAGAGGUGAAAAAACCUCUAUAUAAAUAAUAGACGAGAAGACCCUAGAAAUUUGAAUAAUAGUUUUGUUGGGGCAACAUAAUAGAAAAAUCUAUUAAAUGUACAAGAAAUAAUUUUGUUUGAAAAAAUUACUCUAGGGAUAACAGCAUAAUUUUUAUUAAGUUUGUGACCUCGAUGUUGGAUUAGGGAACUAUAACUUAAAA
RNAcentral lists this ribosomal RNA (715 nucleotides) under Torresitrachia weaberana. RNAcentral's name for it is "partial 16S ribosomal RNA". The stretch from base 294 to 532 matches the Rfam family "Archaeal large subunit ribosomal RNA", at positions 1786 to 2143 of the family's 2987-position model. Lineage: Eukaryota; Metazoa; Mollusca; Gastropoda; Stylommatophora; Camaenidae. The record is from RNAcentral.